CAGUAGCCGCGGUAAUACGUAGGUGGCAAGCGUUGUCCGGAAUUAUUGGGCGUAUAGGGCUCGCAGGCGGUUUCUUAAGUCUGAUGUGAAAGCCCCCGGCUCAACCGGGGAGGGUCAUUGGAAACUGGGAAACUUGAGCGCAGAAGAGGAGAGUGGAAUUCCACGUGUAGCGGUGAAAUGCGUAGAGAUGUGGAGGAACACCAGUGGCGAAGGCGACUCUCUGGUCUGUAACUGACGCUGAGGAGCGAAAGCGUGGGGAGCGAACAGGAUUAGAUACCCGCGUAGUCCCUGUCUCUUAUAC
Molecule: ribosomal RNA, 301 nt
Filed under: uncultured bacterium
Lineage: Bacteria
Description: partial 16S ribosomal RNA
Rfam family: Bacterial small subunit ribosomal RNA
Source: RNAcentral